RNAcentral lists this transfer RNA (65 nucleotides) under Gampsocleis gratiosa (Chinese bush cricket). RNAcentral describes it as "tRNA-His". It matches the Rfam family "tRNA". From Rfam's summary of the family: Transfer RNA (tRNA) molecules are approximately 80 nucleotides in length. Lineage: Eukaryota; Metazoa; Arthropoda; Insecta; Orthoptera; Tettigoniidae. The record is from RNAcentral.
GUUUAAAUAGUUUAAUGGAAAAUGUUGGUUUGUGAUACCAGAGAUGUGGGUGUCUGCUUUAAACC